CCGCUCAGGUGUGCCAGCAGCCGCGGUAAUACGAGAGGUCUCAAGCGUUGUUCGGAAUCACUGGGCGUAAAGCGUGCGUAGGCGGUUUCGUAAGUCGUGUGUGAAAGGCGGGGGCUCAACCCCGGACUGGCACAUGAUACUGCGAGACUAGAGUAAUGGAGGGGGACCGGAAUUCUCGGUGUAGCAGUGAAAUGCGUAGAUAUCGAGAGGAACACUCGUGGCGAAGGCGGGUUCCUGGACAUUAACUGACGCUGAGGCACGAAGGCCAGGGGAGCGAAAGGG
Molecule: ribosomal RNA, 282 nt
Filed under: uncultured bacterium
Lineage: Bacteria
Description: partial 16S ribosomal RNA
Rfam family: Bacterial small subunit ribosomal RNA
Source: RNAcentral